RNAcentral lists this transfer RNA (68 nucleotides) under Marmota monax (woodchuck). RNAcentral's name for it is "tRNA.Ala". The record is from RNAcentral. Lineage: Eukaryota; Metazoa; Chordata; Mammalia; Rodentia; Sciuridae.
GGAUUAUGGCUCAGUGAUAGAGUGCUCGCCUUGCACAUGCAAGCCCCUGGGUUCGAUCCUCAGCACCA